RNAcentral lists this ribosomal RNA (274 nucleotides) under uncultured bacterium. Its description in RNAcentral is "partial 16S ribosomal RNA". It matches the Rfam family "Bacterial small subunit ribosomal RNA", at positions 523 to 796 of the family's 1533-position model. The record is from RNAcentral.
AUACGAAGGGGGCUAGCGUUGUUCGGAUUUACUGGGCGUAAAGCGCGCGUAGGCGGAUUGAUCAGUUAGGGGUGAAAUCCCGAGGCUCAACCUCGGAACUGCCUUUAAUACUGUCAGUCUAGAGACCGGAAGAGGUGAGUGGAACUCCUAGUGUAGAGGUGGAAUUCGUAGAUAUUAGGAAGAACACCAGUGGCGAAGGCGGCUCACUGGUCCGGUACUGACGCUGAGGUGCGAAAGCGUGGGGAGCGAACAGGAUUAGAAACCCUAGUAGUCC